ACUCGAGCGGCGAACGGGUGAGUAACACGUGAGCAACCUGCCCCAGGCUUUGGGAUAACCCCGGGAAACCGGGGCUAAUACCGAAUAUGACCUCUGACCGCAUGGUUGGUGGUGGAAAGUUUUUCGGCUUGGGAUGGGCUCGCGGCCUAUCAGCUUGUUGGUGGGGUGAUGGCCUACCAAGGCGACGACGGGUAGCCGGCCUGAGAGGGCGACCGGCCACACUGGGACUGAGACACGGCCCAGACUCCUACGGGAGGCAGCAGUGGGGAAUAUUGCACAAUGGGCGGAAGCCUGAUGCAGCGACGCCGCGUGAGGGAUGACGGCCUUCGGGUUGUAAACCUCUUUCAGCAGGGACGAAGCGUAAGUGACGGUACCUGCAGAAGAAGCGCCGGCCAACUACGUGCCAGCAGCCGCGGUAAGACGUAGGGCGCGAGCGUUGUCCGGAUUUAUUGGGCGUAAAGAGCUCGUAGGCGGCUUGUCGCGUCGACCGUGAAAACUUGGGGCUCAACCCCAAGCCUGCGGUCGAUACGGGCAGGCUAGAGUUCGGUAGGGGAGACUGGAAUUCCUGGUGUAGCGGUGAAAUGCGCAGAUAUCAGGAGGAACACCGGUGGCGAAGGCGGGUCUCUGGGCCGAUACUGACGCUGAGGAGCGAAAGCGUGGGGAGCGAACAGGAUUAGAUACCCUGGUAGUCCACGCUGUA
Molecule: ribosomal RNA, 700 nt
Filed under: Micromonospora sp. KLBMP S0019
Lineage: Bacteria; Bacillati; Actinomycetota; Actinomycetes; Micromonosporales; Micromonosporaceae
Description: bacterial SSU rRNA
Rfam family: Bacterial small subunit ribosomal RNA
Source: RNAcentral